This is a long non-coding RNA of Armigeres subalbatus, 480 nucleotides long. RefSeq lists it as uncharacterized. Lineage: Eukaryota; Metazoa; Arthropoda; Insecta; Diptera; Culicidae. The transcript has 2 exons. The record is from RefSeq and is a predicted model, not a curated record.
GCACUGAACAUUGACAGCCACUCCACUUUCUCUUGCCACACAACAGAUUUUUUUAACGUACCGCAACAGGACAGGAGUGUCCGAAAAGUGUUUUAUCCGGUGUGCUUACUUUUGGGAUUUUCCAAUAUGCGGAAAAUUAAGCGACCAAAAGAACUAUCUAGCCAGAUGGAUUUUGUGGCAGACCAGACCAUCGCUGAAGAAAAUUCGACGGCAAUGGAAAGCACUGCCCGCCACACGGAACCAGAAGGUGAGCCGGAAGAUAUUUUUUUAUGUUUCGGGCUUCGUAGCUGGCGAGGAAACAAUGAUGCGAUAUCUGAAUGCCUACGAUGCGCACCCGGCGCUCCCCGAUAAGUGGCUCAAGUGUGAAUGACGGCACCUUGACGAUAGUGCCGCGCAUGUAGGUAUCACGUUCUGCCUCAACUCAAAAUACUAGAAUAUUUUUUACAACAAAGAAAUAAAAAGUAAAACAUAAAUUAUUCA